CUUUUGACCCGUUGCCUGUCCUGUUCUCUGUUGUUUCCCCAGCAUCUAGAACAAUAGGUGCCUGACACAAUAGGUGCUUCGUAAAUAUUUAUUAUUAUUAUUAUUAUUUUAGAGACAGGGUCUUGCUCUGUUGCCCCGGCUGGAAUACAGUGGGAUGAUCAUGGCUCACUGCCAUCUCCAACUCCUGGGCUCAAACGAUCCUCCCACCUCCGCCUACAGAGUAGCUGGGACUAUAGGUACACAGCACCAAAUUUUCUGUAGAGACGGGGGUCUUGCUUUGUAGCCCACACUAGUGUUGAACUCCUGGCCUCAAGUGAUCCUCCUGCCUUGAUGGGAUUACAGGUGUGAGCCACCACACCCAGCCUAAAUGUUUAUUUCAUUGGUCAGUGUCAGAACUAGGAUUGGAAUUUAGAUUGUUAAUCUCUUGCCACAAGAUAGGAAAAUGGAGCAAGAUGAGGAGAAAAAAGCAUUUAAUGGGAGAGAACACCCUUGUCUGAGGUCAGGGACCUGGGAAGCAAGCACGACUUUGCCACUGUCACUGUGUGUUACUUGGACAGUGCCUUAUUUUCCCAUCUGUGAAAUAAAAGAGCUGGAUAAGAACCUUAGUUUUGAGAUCCUGUCUCCCUUAAAAGCUGAAGACAAAGGUAACUGAUCCAAGGGCAGACAAGGGAUGGUACCAUCAUCUCCAGCUUGGACUCCCACUGCUGACAAAAUUUGUCCCUUCAAAGUUGAGAUAGCUACCAUGGGGAAGAGCACUUAGUUCUAUACUGAAUGGCUCCAGGCAUUUUCAUGAAAGCUCUUUCAGCUUUGGGGAAGAAUAUUCAUCCAUAUCUUUACCCCAUCAUAUUAGUGUCUAAGCCCUGCAAUCAGGCAUGUCAGCCACGUGAUGGAAUGGGAGGGCUGCAGGGCAGCACUGUCCAGUAGAAACGAAAUGCAAGCCACAUAUGUCAUUUUAAGUUUUCUUUUUUUGAGAUGGAGUUUCACUCCAUCACCCAGGCUGGAGUGCAGUGGCACGAUCUCGCCUCACUGCAACCUCCGCCUCCCAGGUUCAUGUGAUUCUCCUGCCUCAGCCUCCUGAGUAGCUGGGAUUACAGGCAUAUGCCACCAUGCCUGGCUAAUUUUUGUAUUUUUAGUAGAGAUGGGGUUUCACCAUGUUGAUCAGGCUGGUCUGGAACUACUGACCUCAGGCCACCCGCCUUGGCCUCCCAAAGUGCUGGGAUUACAGGCAUGAGCCACCGCGCCCAGCUAAUUUUUGUAUUUUUAUUUUAUUUAUUUAUUUAUUUUUUGGGAGACGGAGUCUUGCUCUGUCACCCAGGCUGGAGUGCAGUUGUGCGAUCUUGGCUCACUGCAACCUCAGCCUCCCAAGUAGCUGGGAUUACAGGCAUGCACCAUCAUGCCCAGCUAAUUUUUGUAUUUUUAGUAGAGAUGGGGUUUCACUGUGUUGGCCAGGCUGGUCUUGAACUCCUGACCUCAGGUGAUCCACCGGCCUCAGCCUCCCAAAGUGCUGGGAUUAUAGGCGUGAGCCACUGCACCCGUCCUAAUUUUUGUAUUUUUAGUAGAGAUGGGGUUUCACCAUGUUGGCUAAGCUGGUCUGGAACUCAUGGCCUCAAGUUAUCUGCCCACCUCAGCCUCCCAAAGUGCUGAGUAAGCCAAGUUUUCUAAUAGCCACAUUAGACAAGUAAAAGGAAACAGGUUAAAUUCAUUUUAACAUGUUUUACUUAACCCAAUGUAUCCAAAAUAGCAUUUCAACAUGUCAUCGGUUUUUUAGUUUUUUUUUUUUUUGAGAUAGUGCUUCGCUUUGUUGCCCAGGCUGGAGUGCAGUGGCACAAUCUCGGCUCACUGCAACCUCCACCUUCCAGGUUCAAGUGAUUCUCCUGCCUCAGCCUCCCGAGUAGCUGGGAUUACAGGCACCCGCCACCAUGCCCACUAAUUUUUGUAUUUUUGGUUAGAGAUGGGGUUUCGCCAUGUUGGCCAGGCUAGUCUCAAACUCCUGACCUCAGGUGAUCCACCCACCUCGGCCUCCCAAAGUGCUAGGAUUACAGGCGUGAGGCACCGUGCCUGGCGUCAUCGGUAUUAUUUAAAUGAAUUAUGUUACGUUCUUUUGUGCUGUCUUCAAAAUCUGUUAUAUAUUUUACACUUACACCAAAUCUCAAUUACCAUGGUACAUUUUUAUCUGAAAUGCUUGACCUUUAUUUUGAUUUCAUAAAAUUCAUAGUUGGAGAAGUAGAUUCACAUAUCCAAGUUGUUCCAAUUAUAUAAUAGUUUUCCAAAAACUGAGAUGGGUGUCCAUUUUUUUUUUAAGUAAAGAUGCAGGUCUGGUUAUGUUGACCAAGUUGCUGGGUUGUUUUGUUUUGUUUUGAGACAGAGUCUCACUUUGUCACCCAGGCUGGAGUGCAGUGGCAUGACCUCAGCUCACUGCAACCUCUGCCUCCCAGGUUCAACUGAUUCUCUUGCAUCAUCCUCCUGAGUAGCUGGGACUACAGGUGUAUGCCACCAUGCCUGGCUAAUUUUGGUAUUUUUCUCAGAGACGGGGUUUCACCAUGUUGGGCAUGCUGGUCUUGAACUGCUGACCUCAGGUGAUCCGCCCACCUCGGCCUCCCAAAGUGCUGGUAUUACAGGCAUGGGCCACCACACCUGGCCUCAGCUGUUCAAUUAAAAGUAAAUACAACUUAAAAUUCUAUGUUUCAUUGGCAGUAGUGCAACAUUAAUACUGAGUAGCCACAUGUGAUUAGUGGCUAUGGUAUUGGACAGGGAAGGUACAGAAUACUUCCAUCAACAUAGAAAAUUCUAUCAGUCUAGCUCUAGGGGCAGAUAGUCCUUCCACUGACUUGGGCAAGUCACUCUACAAAUGGCAUCUACCUCACAUGGUUAUGGUGAGAAUUCAGCGUAUGUAUGUACAUGCAGGCACACAAUAUGCACACAGACACAUAACAUAGUACACCCUUUCCUGAAAAGCCUGACACAUGGAGCUCAAACAUGAGUGCCACCCACCCCUGGGCAGCACCAAGAUGGCUCUAGUCUGGGUGCCUUUGUCUCACCCCCAUGCCUUUGCUCGGAGUGUGCUCCUCAUUUUUCUGCCACUUUGACCCUGUCUCUGAUUUGGUCCUGUCUGACAUCACUGCUAUAUGCUUUGCUCCUCUCAAUUUCCUCUGCCCUCAUGCCAGCAGGAGUCAUGCCAGAGAUCAUAUCUGAGAAAGCAAGACAAUUUUGUGUGUGUGUCUGUGCCCAUAGAGGAGUGCUGGUUGUGUUGAUAUAGUUGUAGAUUGGUUGUGUUUACACAGUUGUAUAUAUUGACACCCUUGAGUGUUAUGACUUCUUUUGGGGGUGGUCGCCUUUUAAAUCAUAACUUUUAAUGGGAUUCCAUUUUAGUCUUUGUGAAGACAUAAGGUUGUUGGCAGGCAUCUGUCCCUGGGAGCAUCCAAGCAGAAAAGACUAAGACUCCCUUGUAGACAGAUCACUGGCCGCCACUGAAGUGUGUCUGCAUGGCACCACAGGGCUGGAAGACCCUUGAAGGCAGGAAUUCAAGGAAAUGUAUGAUGAAUUUUGGCAUUGCCAUCAAAAGCAGAACAGGCAUGGAAAACUUGGGUGAGUGGGCGAGACAACCUCCUCACCACAGCAGAGUUCCAUCCAUGCCUGGAUAAUGAUGGAGGGAUUUGUGUCCACUGCAGUGGGGAACCAUGAAGGACACAUCAAGGGUGUGGUUGGCCUGUGGUGCUCUUUGGAGGAAUGAAUAAAAAUGAAUAGAAAUCCUA
Molecule: long non-coding RNA, 3752 nt
Filed under: Homo sapiens (human)
Lineage: Eukaryota; Metazoa; Chordata; Mammalia; Primates; Hominidae
Description: non-protein coding lnc-XRCC1-2:1
Source: RNAcentral